RNAcentral lists this ribosomal RNA (471 nucleotides) under Serratia marcescens. RNAcentral's name for it is "bacterial SSU rRNA". It matches the Rfam family "Bacterial small subunit ribosomal RNA", at positions 8 to 475 of the family's 1533-position model. The record is from RNAcentral. Lineage: Bacteria; Pseudomonadati; Pseudomonadota; Gammaproteobacteria; Enterobacterales; Yersiniaceae.
AGAGUUUGAUCCCUGGCUCAGAUUGAACGCUGGCGGCAGGCUUAACACAUGCAAGUCGAGCGGUAGCACAGGGGAGCUUGCUCCCCGGGUGACGAGCGGCGGACGGGUGAGUAAUGUCUGGGAAACUGCCUGAUGGAGGGGGAUAACUACUGGAAACGGUAGCUAAUACCGCAUAACGUCGCAAGACCAAAGAGGGGGACCUUCGGGCCUCUUGCCAUCAGAUGUGCCCAGAUGGGAUUAGCUAGUAGGUGGGGUAAUGGCUCACCUAGGCGACGAUCCCUAGCUGGUCUGAGAGGAUGACCAGCCACACUGGAACUGAGACACGGUCCAGACUCCUACGGGAGGCAGCAGUGGGGAAUAUUGCACAAUGGGCGCAACCUGAUGCAGCCAUGCCGCGUGUGUGAAGAAGGCCUUCGGGUUGUAAAGCACUUUCAGCGAGGAGGAAGGUGGUGAACUUAAUACGUUCAUCAA